Molecule: ribosomal RNA, 253 nt
Filed under: uncultured bacterium
Lineage: Bacteria
Description: partial 16S ribosomal RNA
Rfam family: Bacterial small subunit ribosomal RNA
Source: RNAcentral
UACGGGGGGAGCAAGCGUUGUUCGGAUUUAUUGGGCGUAAAGCGUGCGCAGGCGGUUUUGUAAGCCAGGUGUGAAAUCCCCGGGCUCAACCUGGGAAUGGCAUUUGGGACUGCAAGGCUGGAGUGCGGCAGAGGAGACUGGAAUUCCUGGUGUAGCAGUGAAAUGCGUAGAUAUCAGGAGGAAUACCGAUGGCGAAGGCAGGUCUCUGGGCUGACACUGACGCUCAUGCACGAAAGCGUGGGGAGCAAACAGG